This 253-nucleotide ribosomal RNA is filed under the name uncultured bacterium. RNAcentral's name for it is "partial 16S ribosomal RNA". It matches the Rfam family "Bacterial small subunit ribosomal RNA", at positions 524 to 776 of the family's 1533-position model. The record is from RNAcentral.
UACGAAGGGUGCUAGCGUUGCUCGGAAUUACUGGGCGUAAAGGGCGCGUAGGCGGAUAUUUAAGUUAGAGGUGAAAGCCCAGGGCUCAACCCUGGAAUAGCCUUUAAUACUGGAUAUCUUGAGUUCGGGAGAGGUGAGUGGAACUCCGAGUGUAGAGGUGAAAUUCGUAGAUAUUCGGAAGAACACCAGUGGCGAAGGCGACUCACUGGCCCGAUACUGACGCUGAGGCGCGAAAGCGUGGGGAGCAAACAGG